AGAGUUUGAUCCUGGCUCAGAUUGAACGCUGGCGGCAUGCCUUACACAUGCAAGUCGAACGGCAGCACGGGGGCAACCCUGGUGGCGAGUGGCGAACGGGUGAGUAACAUAUCGGAACGUGCCCUGGAGUGGGGGAUAACUAGUCGAAAGACUAGCUAAUACCGCAUACGAUCUACGGAUGAAAGUGGGGGAUCGCAAGACCUCAUGCUCGUGGAGCGGCCGAUAUCUGAUUAGCUAGUUGGUGGGGUAAAGGCCUACCAAGGCAUCGAUCAGUAGCUGGUCUGAGAGGACGACCAGCCACACUGGGACUGAGACACGGCCCAGACUCCUACGGGAGGCAGCAGUGGGGAAUUUUGGACAAUGGGCGCAAGCCUGAUCCAGCAAUGCCGCGUGAGUGAAGAAGGCCUUCGGGUUGUAAAGCUCUUUUGUCAGGGAAGAAACGGCGGGGACUAAUAUUUCCUGCUAA
RNAcentral lists this ribosomal RNA (466 nucleotides) under uncultured soil bacterium. Its description in RNAcentral is "bacterial SSU rRNA". It matches the Rfam family "Bacterial small subunit ribosomal RNA", at positions 8 to 485 of the family's 1533-position model. The record is from RNAcentral.